CCUANGGGUGGCUGCAGUCGUGAAUUUUCCGCAAUGGGCGAAAGCCUGACGGAGCGACACCGCGUGCAGGAUGAAGGCCUUCGGGUUGUAAACUGCUGUCAGGUUCUAGGAACAAACUGGUGUUAAUAGCGCCAGUCCUGACCAAGACCAAAGGAAGCAGCGGCUAACUCUGUGCCAGCAGCCGCGGUAAGACAGAGGUUGCAAACGUUGUUCGGAAUUACUGGGCAUAAAGCGCACGUAGGUGGUCCGCUAAGUCGGAUGUGAAAUUCCCCGGCUCAACCGGGGAACGGCAAUCGAUACUGGCGGACUUGAGGUCCGGAGGGGUGAGUGGAACUCCUGGUGGAGCGGUGAAAUGCGUAGAUAUCAGGAGGAACACCGGUGGCGAAAGCGGCUCACUGGCCGGAAUCUGACACUGAGGUGCGAAAGCUAGGGUAGCAAACGGGAUUAGAUACCCUUNUANUC
This 462-nucleotide ribosomal RNA is filed under the name uncultured bacterium. RNAcentral's name for it is "bacterial SSU rRNA". It matches the Rfam family "Bacterial small subunit ribosomal RNA", at positions 338 to 795 of the family's 1533-position model. The record is from RNAcentral.